GAAACGAUCGUUAAUACCGCAUAACAUAAUUGAACCGCAUGAUUUGAUUAUCAAAGAUUUAUCGCUGAAAGAUGAGCUCGCGUCUGAUUAGCUAGUUGGUAAGGUAACGGCUUACCAAGGCGACGAUCAGUAGCCGGACUGAGAGGUUGAUCGGCCACAUUGGGACUGAGACACGGCCCAGACUCCUACGGGAGGCAGCAGUGGGGAAUAUUGCACAAUGGAGGAAACUCUGAUGCAGCGAUGCCGCGUGAGGGAAGAAGGUUUUAGGAUUGUAAACCUCUGUCUUCAGGGACGAAAAAUGACGGUACCUGAGGAGGAAGCUCCGGCUAACUACGUGCCAGCAGCCGCGGUAAUACGUAGGGAGCGAGCGUUGUCCGGAAUUACUGGGUGUAAAGGGAGCGUAGGCGGGAUCGCAAGUCAGAUGUGAAAACUAUGGGCUUAACCCAUAAACUGCAUUUGAAACUGUGGUUCUUGAGUGAAGUAGAGGUAAGCGGAAUUCCUAGUGUAGCGGUGAAAUGCGUAGAUAUUAGGAGGAACAUCAGUGGCGAAGGCGGCUUACUGGGCUUUAACUGACGCUGAGGCUCGAAAGCGUGGGGAGCAAACAGGAUUAGAUACCCUGGUAGUCCACGCCGUAAACGAUGAUUACUAGGUGUGGGGGGACUGACCCCUUCCGUG
This 675-nucleotide ribosomal RNA is filed under the name uncultured bacterium. Its description in RNAcentral is "bacterial SSU rRNA". It matches the Rfam family "Bacterial small subunit ribosomal RNA", at positions 153 to 845 of the family's 1533-position model. The record is from RNAcentral.